AUUUCUUUACCCAAAAAUUAGAGGACCCAAGACAGCUCAUUUGACAUGGCAGCAUUCCAAUGAGCUGAAAAGUAAUUUUCAGGGACUGUAUCUUUGGUAAGGAUUUGUGCAUCAGUGGGGUAGUGAUUUUAAUGUGUGUGCAGCAUUUUAGUAGCCAACUGAGAUGGCAGUUAAGAUAUAGCAUUGUACAUUAACAUCACUGUUGCACAGGAAGCAGCUGGUCUUCAGAUGAUGGUGCUCACUGCAUUCUGCUUCAUGAGUUUCUUAGUAGCUCUUUUGAUCUCUUACAAGGAAAUCAUUCUCUUGUUAAUAUUUCACUGUUUUCUGCAUCCAGGUCCCAAGGACAGAGAGGAGAGUAGAGCAGGGAGGGAGGCAGAGGAUAAAAGAGCAUAGAAACCAGCUCUUCAAAGAAACAGAACUUUUCUUCAUGUACAACAUUUACAACUUAUCAAAACUUUUAAUGUGUGCUUGAGAAGGAAAUAAUUAAAAUAAAAAUGUACUGAAUUAUUGUAACCAGCUUGGUAGGUAAUAUUUUUUGAACAAAAUGUUGAAUGGAGAGAAAAAUUAAAGAUAAAUAUAAAAUGUCUCCCAGGCUGGCAUGAAAAACCUGAUGUGCCACACACUACUUGGCUUCACUUUCAGAUUUUUACUGCUAUGAAAAAUGAGAGGUUUCUUCCCAUGCUCUGUAGUCCUCGAUUACAGAUUUACUUUCUCAGCAGACAAGUUCCCACUUUGGGAAUAAGUAACUUAAUAAAACAAAUAAAGGUGUUCAUCUUGGCAAAGAGAGCAAAAACACAUCACUUGUUACUUGACUACACUAAUGCAGACUUCAAGACCUGGAUGAGAGAACUUCUUGCUCAAACUGGGCUUCAAUACAUCAUUGGUGUAUUCCCCCUUUCCAACCAGUAUGGGCUUUUUGCUCUUGAAAACCCACGUCUAGCAGAUAGCCAGAAGAAGAUCCAAUGAUCUUCCUUGCUACAAAACUGAAGUUCAUUCAUGAUGAAGGUCUGUAGUUACCUAUUCUUUUUGACAUUCACAAUAAGUACACUUAUAUCUCCAGCCUGAAGAAAAGAAUGACUUUAGGGCCUGUAUUUACCAGAACUGUUUAUGUGUUUACUUCAUUGUUACUACUCCUGUACAGAGAAAGGGUACAGCAAAAAAACACAAAAUGCUGUACACAGGCAAAGGAACUUCUGUAGUAGUGUGCUCCUAGAAGUGAGCCUUUGGGACUGAGACCUCAGUAGAAGAGAUCUUCAACAGAGAUACUUUCUCCUCUUGUCUGACUUUCAGCAGAAAUAACAAAGAACAAAGACCAGUUUUCAAGAAAAUUAAAGUAACGGACAACUUGAAUUUAGAAAGAAAGUUAUCAACUGUGAACACUUCUAAGGAAGAAGAUAGUAGUGUGUACAGACUCAGAAGACAAGAAGAACUGGGAGAGUAUGCUACCCGAGUUUUUGCUGCACAGUAAGUGUCUUAAAGAGAGGUAGCUUAUAAGACUUUGUUAUUGAAUUUCACAGUUUCUUGCAUUUCAUCUCCUAUCUAAUAUCAGAUCUGCAAAUCUAUUUAACAAUUCUUGGUACUCUGGUUUCCAAAAUGGCACAACUCUGACUGCUUUCUUUUCCUUGGAGAUUUCAUUUAUAGUUUUUCCUUUCUUUUGCUCUGUACAUACAACUAGGGAAAAAAAAAAAAAAAAAAAAAAGAGAUGUUCAGUGUUGACUAAAGAAUAAACAAAACCAAAGAGAUGGAAUUCA
This 1751-nucleotide long non-coding RNA is filed under the name Phasianus colchicus (ring-necked pheasant). RNAcentral's name for it is "lncRNA (ENSPCLG00000003065.1)". The record is from RNAcentral. Lineage: Eukaryota; Metazoa; Chordata; Aves; Galliformes; Phasianidae.